Molecule: long non-coding RNA, 1223 nt
Organism: Peromyscus leucopus (white-footed mouse)
Lineage: Eukaryota; Metazoa; Chordata; Mammalia; Rodentia; Cricetidae
Exons: 2
Source: RefSeq, a predicted model, not a curated record
UCGAACUCACAGAGAUCUGCCUGCCUCUGCCUCCCGAGUGCUGGGAUUAAAGGCGUGCGCCACCACUGCCCAGUUUGACUUGAGAAAGUUUUUAUCCCACCACUCCUAGCUUGUUUAGUGCCCUUUGCUUAAAAAAAUCACAGGGUGAGAAAAGAAUAAAUUUGAAGUUUAAUAUUAAAUUCCAUGUAUAUUUUCCCAGGCAAAAGUGGCAGAUUCCAGGGAAACCAUUAGAAACAUGUAGUGUCUAUUUUUCUUCAUAAUUUAUUUCUAGCAACUCAAAACUAGUUGUGUUUUUAUAUAAAUACAACACACUGAGUUUUAGGUUUUUGAUUUUUCCCCCCCUUCAAGACAGAGUUUCUCUGUGUAGCCUGUCUAUCCUGGAACUCACUAUAGACCAGGCUGGUCUUGAACUCAGAGAUCACCUGCUACUGCCUCCCGAGUGCUGGGACUAAUGGUGUGCACCACUGCACCUGGCUUAUAAUGUAGAUUUCUGAUCAAGGACUAAAUCAAAAUGUGACCAGUAGGUUUCACUAAGCCACACAAUCUUUUUUUCCUUCCUUAGAAGCAGACCUUGGCUGCCUUAGUCCUACAGGAAGCAAUUGGUCGUGUUUGAGGUUACUAUACAGGGACAAAGAAGAGAAGAGCCUGGCCUGUGGAGUGACAGCGUAGCACAGAAAGGACGGGAUGUGGUACAAAAGGAGGAGAAAGUUAAAACAGCAAAUGGGGAGCCUGCGCUCCCAAUGGAUGUCCCCCAUCAGGCUGCUCACCAAGGCUGGAUGUCAGUAGACACCGCUAACUCCGACCGACCGACCCGGGAAUUACCGAAGGAGGUCCUGCAGAAACUAUAAACCUGCAAGCUGUGGCUGCUGGGGCAGAGGGGACUGCUGUCUUACCUGGGAUUUGGGGAGUUGGAGGAUUAACAGAGUUAUCUGUCACUGUAGUUAGGAAGUGAUAGCUGAGUAGGAACCCCUAAGAGACACAAACAAGGGGUUUCUGUGCCCAGCUUUAAGGAGAUGGACACCAGGGCUGCUAUGUCAGCUUAGUGGUCAUGAUUACCAUCAAGAAACCAAGAUGUAGCCGGGCAGUGGUGGCGCACGCCUUUAAUCCCAGCACUAGGGAGGCAGAGCCAGGCGGAUCUCUGUGAGUUCAAGGCCAGCCUGGGCUACCAAGUGAGUCCCAGGAAAGGCGCAAAGCUACACAGAGAAACCCUGUCUCGAAAAACC